GGCGGAUGUACCCAAGGGGAUUAAGGCA
RNAcentral lists this transfer RNA (28 nucleotides) under Descurainia sophia. Its description in RNAcentral is "partial tRNA-His". The record is from RNAcentral. Lineage: Eukaryota; Viridiplantae; Streptophyta; Magnoliopsida; Brassicales; Brassicaceae.